RNAcentral lists this ribosomal RNA (253 nucleotides) under uncultured prokaryote. RNAcentral describes it as "partial 16S ribosomal RNA". It matches the Rfam family "Bacterial small subunit ribosomal RNA", at positions 524 to 776 of the family's 1533-position model. The record is from RNAcentral.
UACGGAGGGUGCGAGCAUUAAUCGGAUUUACUGGGCGUAAAGGGCGCGUAGGCGGGUAAGCAAGUCGGGUGUGAAAUUCCUGGGCUCAACCUAGGAGCUGCACUUGAAACUGCGUAUCUUGAGGGGUGGCGGGGAAAACGGAAUUCCACGUGUAGCGGUGAAAUGCGUAGAUAUGUGGAAGAACACCGGUGGCGAAGGCGGUUUUCUAGCUAUUACCUGACGCUGAGGCGCGAGAGCAUGGGGAGCAAACAGG